UACGUAGGGUGCGAGCGUUAAUCGGAAUUACUGGGCGUAAAGCGUGCGCAGGCGGUUUUGUAAGCCAGAUGUGAAAGCCCCGAGCUCAACCUGGGAAUGGCAUUUGGGACUGCAAGGCUUGAGUGCGGCAGAGGAGACUGGAAUUCCUGGUGUAGCAGUGAAAUGCGUAGAUAUCAGGAGGAAUACCGAUGGCGAAGGCAGGUCUCUGGGCUGACACUGACGCUCAUGCACGAAAGCGUGGGGAGCAAACAGG
Molecule: ribosomal RNA, 253 nt
Filed under: uncultured bacterium
Lineage: Bacteria
Description: partial 16S ribosomal RNA
Rfam family: Bacterial small subunit ribosomal RNA
Source: RNAcentral